RNAcentral lists this unclassified non-coding RNA (2179 nucleotides) under Hevea brasiliensis (rubber tree). The record is from RNAcentral. Lineage: Eukaryota; Viridiplantae; Streptophyta; Magnoliopsida; Malpighiales; Euphorbiaceae.
GAUGAGUAUUUUAGCUACUUUUCGUGGGAAUUUUAGUCCAUUGUCGUCUUUGUCAUCACAGUACAGCUCUUGCUCUCAUUUCGAGCUUCGUUCGCGGCCAUUCUUAGCUUGUUCGGUUGUUUCUCGGCGGAAGAAACGGUGUCGUUUCAGGGAUUUCAAGUUGUACCAUGUUUCAAGGUUUCAUGGAAAGAGAGGGAUUGUUUGUAGAGUUACAGAGACGCAAACUGAACCAGAUAGCAAUAAUGAUAAGGAAAAAGAAGAACAUGAAGGAGGAGAGGCAACAUCUACUACAGACUCCAUAGGGCAAUCCAAUUCCCAGCCUGACUCUCAGCCUACGGUUGUAAAUCAAAUAAACAAUAAUGAUGGGGGAACUAAUGCUGAAGGUGGCACCCAGGAUCCUGAUGCUUUAGAAGUUGCUAGUGGUUCUCCUCUUCCAGGUGUGAAGCCCCAGCAACUGGAUGAAUCAAUAAGGAUUCCUAAAGGAACAAUUGAUAUUCUUAAGGACCAAGUAUUUGGCUUUGAUACUUUUUUUGUGACAAGCGAGGAGCCAUAUGAGGUGAGCUAAUAAAAUGGGUACUAUUGCUUUUCUCAUCCUCUGAGAAGGGAUAAAAGCAGAUGGAGUUGCCAUUGAGAUUAGAAAAUCUGGUUGAUCAUUGAAGUUUUUACAUUCAGACCUUUCUUUCUUACAAUGUUUAAAAUUAUUUACUACCUAUUUACAGAAAUGGAAUAUCUUCUUCAGAGGGAGUUAAGAAGUCAUGUGAAAAGCUAUUUCAUCCUCCUCUUUUGUUCACUAGAAUGGUUUUUAAGUUGUCAUUUUAAUCGAUUUACAUUUGGUAGGGUGGGGUCUUGUUUAAAGGAAACCUGAGAGGACAGGCUGCAAAAAGCUAUGAGAAGAUAGCAAACAGGAUGCAGAAUAAAUUUGGGGAUGAAUAUAAACUUUUCCUUCUAGUUAAUCCAGAGGAUGAUAAACCAGUGGCAGUUGUUGUUCCAAGAAAGACCCUACAGCCUGAAACAACAGCGGUCCCAGAGUGGUUUGCUGCUGGGGCUUUUGGAGUUGUUACAGUUUUCACAUUACUUCUCCGAAAUGUUCCUGCAUUACAAUCCAACUUAUUAUCAACUUUUGACAAUCUCGAGUUGCUAAAGAAUGGCCUGCCAGGAGCCCUUGUGAGUGCACUUAUUUUGGGAGUACAUGAACUCAGCCACAUAUUAGUUGCAAAAAGAAGUGAUGUUAAGCUGGGGGUGCCAUAUUUUGUUCCAAGUUGGCAGAUAGGCUCCUUUGGUGCUAUUACAAGGAUACUAAGUAUUGUGUCCAAACGUGAAGAUCUUCUGAAGGUUGCAGCAGCAGGACCUAUAGCUGGGUUCACUGUGGGCUUUGUUCUUUUUCUUUUAGGAUUCAUCUUACCACCUAGUGAUGGUGUUGGUCUUGUUGUUGAUGCUUCUGUCUUUCACGAGUCAUUUCUUGCUGGGGGUAUUGCUAAACUUCUUCUGGGUGAUGUACUCAAGGAAGGUACUCCCAUAUCUGUUAACCCGCUUGUGGUAUGGGCUUGGGCUGGACUGCUUAUUAAUGCCAUCAAUAGCAUCCCUGCAGGAGAGCUUGAUGGAGGGAGGAUUUCUUUUGCCAUAUGGGGAAGAAAGGCUUCAGCUCGCUUCACAGCUGUCUCAAUUGUCCUGCUUGGUCUAUCCUCACUGUUUAAUGAUGUGGCAUUUUAUUGGGUAUUUUUGAUAUUCUUCUUACAAAGAGGGCCAAUUGCUCCACUCGCUGAGGAAAUCACUGAUCCUGAUGAAAAGUAUGUUGCCCUUGGAGUUUUGGUUUUGCUCUUAGGAUUGCUGGUAUGUUUGCCAUACCCUUUUCCUUUUACAGAUGAAGUCGUUACAAAUUUCUAGUGAUAGUGUGAUACAGUCGCCUUAUUCUUAAUGCAAGCCAUCUUUCGGAAACUUAGGUCCAUUGGAGUAGGAUUUUUCUUAUGAAAAUCUUGGCCAAUAAAUUAGGUGAAAUGUAAAUGAUAUUUAUAUAUUAAUGAGUUCUAUACACAUGUACUGUUAACUCAUUUUUUCCCUUUUCUUUCUUUUUUAAUUUUUAUUUUUCCACAUGUUUUACCUUUUGAGCCACACGAAGCAUGUAAUGGUGAAAAUUACUUUCAGGAUUUCUAUUUUUCUGCAUUUUAUACCAGAACUGGUU